UGGCAGGCUAGUCUGGGUAGGCCGGCGUUACCUGUAACUCGAAAUCGCCGAUAUGCGGGAGACGAAGCUGAAGGAAGCCACCAGGAUCAUUUUCAAGCCUGUGAUCUCAACUAAGAAACUCCGUCCUGUUUGGAUGAUGUUGCUAGAGAGGUUGGUUGGAGAAUCGGCCCUCUAUCUUUACCGCGGAAACCGGUCGAGGCCCGGAAGGGAGCAGACUUACCGCGAACAUACAUCGCUCUCAGGGUUGCGGGGUGGAGGCGAGGCCGCAGUCCACUGGAAAAUGAGAAUGGUGGCAACCUGAAGCAUGCCUGCCA
Methanohalophilus mahii DSM 5219 is the source of this 314-nucleotide non-coding RNA. It matches the Rfam family "Archaeal signal recognition particle RNA". Lineage: Archaea; Methanobacteriati; Methanobacteriota; Methanomicrobia; Methanosarcinales; Methanosarcinaceae. The record is from Rfam.